This 28-nucleotide non-coding RNA is filed under the name Mus musculus (house mouse). The record is from RNAcentral. Lineage: Eukaryota; Metazoa; Chordata; Mammalia; Rodentia; Muridae.
UGCUUUGCCCAUCUUGCAACCAGGCCUU